GUGCAUAUUUAGGUAAUAUUUUUAGUCCAGAGAAUUUAAUUUGCAAACCCUAUAUUUAACCCUGUAACUUUCCAAGACACCAUACAACCUGUACAUGGGGGGUACUGUUAUUCUCGGGAGAAUAUUAGUGUUUCAAAACAGUAAACGUAUCACAACGAUGAUAACGUUGGUGAUAUUGACGUUUGUGUAUGAAAAAUGCAAAAAAAAUAAAAAUAUGAACGCUAACUUUGGCCAGGGUUUGUGACUAAGUAGCUACUAAAAAUGCCUGGACAUAUUGAG
Molecule: non-coding RNA, 279 nt
Organism: Pelobates cultripes (western spadefoot toad)
Lineage: Eukaryota; Metazoa; Chordata; Amphibia; Anura; Pelobatidae
Source: the annotation of a GenBank genome assembly